UACGUAGGGGGCAAGCGUUAUCCGGAAUUACUGGGUGUAAAGGGAGCGUAGACGGUAAUGUAAGUCUGGAGUGAAAGGCGGGGGCCCAACCCCCGGACUGCCUUGGAAACUGUGCUGCUGGAGUGCAGGAGAGGCAAGUGGAAUUCCUAGUGUAGCGGUGAAAUGCGUAGAUAUUAGGAGGAACACCAGUGGCGAAGGCGGCUUGCUGGACUGUAACUGACGUUGAGGCUCGAAAGCGUGGGGAGCAAACAGG
This 253-nucleotide ribosomal RNA is filed under the name uncultured bacterium. Its description in RNAcentral is "partial 16S ribosomal RNA". It matches the Rfam family "Bacterial small subunit ribosomal RNA", at positions 524 to 776 of the family's 1533-position model. The record is from RNAcentral.